GGUCGUUAGCUCAGUUGGUAGAGCAGUUGACUUUUAAUCAAUUGGUCGCAGGUUCGAAUCCUGCACGACCACCA
Molecule: transfer RNA, 74 nt
Filed under: Escherichia coli
Lineage: Bacteria; Pseudomonadati; Pseudomonadota; Gammaproteobacteria; Enterobacterales; Enterobacteriaceae
Also listed under: 7 other names
Description: tRNA-Lys
Rfam family: tRNA
About the family: Transfer RNA (tRNA) molecules are approximately 80 nucleotides in length. Their secondary structure includes four short double-helical elements and three loops (D, anti-codon, and T loops).
Source: RNAcentral